GUACACGCUGUGACUAGCAUAUCAAUAAGCGGAGGAAAAGAAACUAACUAGGAUUCCCUUAGUAACGGCGAGUGAAGCGGGAAGAGCUCAAAUUUGAAAUCUUCAAGGUUUUACCUUGACGAAUUGCUAGUUUAAAGAAGUGUUUUCUGCUGGAGUUUUGGUAAAAGUUCUUUGGAAUAGGACAUCAUAGAGGGUGAGAAUCCCGUAUUUGACCAUUAUUUUCAGCUUUGUGAUACACUUUCAAAGAGUCGGAUUGUUUGGGAAUGCAGUCCAAAGUGGGUGGUAAAUUUCAUCUAAAGCUAAAUAUUGGCGAGAGACCGAUAGCGAACAAGUACCGUGAGGGAAAGAUGAAAAGAACUUUGAAAAGAGAGUUAAACAGUACGUGAAAUUGUCAAAAGGGAAGCGUUUGACACCAGUGUUGUUUUCUCGAAAAUCAAUUAAAAAUGGCUCGAUUUUGUAUUGCUGAGACCUUAAAAGCUCACUGUACAUUUUUCGUGUCUUUUUUAAUGCACUUUUCGUUUAACAAGUCAACAUCAGUUUCCUUUUGUUGUAAAAGGGUCAUUGGAAGGUGGCUUUCUUUUCGGAGAAAGUGUUUAUAGCCUUUGGCCUCUGCAAUCGGAGAGACUGAGGUCUGCAGCGUAGACUCUUCGGGGUUAGAUACAUUUGUGCUAAGUUAUAGCUUUUUAUAGACAACUUGUUGACUAUAAUUAGUCUUGUAGCGUACUCGCUUAUGCUAUUUUACCUACGCUUAGGAUGUUGAUCUACAGAGCGAGAGU
RNAcentral lists this ribosomal RNA (776 nucleotides) under uncultured Neocallimastigales. RNAcentral's name for it is "partial large subunit ribosomal RNA". It matches the Rfam family "Eukaryotic large subunit ribosomal RNA", at positions 22 to 635 of the family's 3401-position model. Lineage: Eukaryota; Fungi; Neocallimastigomycota; Neocallimastigomycetes; Neocallimastigales. The record is from RNAcentral.